AUGGAGUUCUGCAUUAAUUGCGUUGGAUUAUUUCCAAAAGGUUUUGGAUCAAAAUCAAGCCAAAUGUUGAUUCUUGAUCUUAUUGAUAGUAAGGACUUGAAAGUGCAAAUUCAUUUGAAGGAAAAAGAGCUCUUGCCUUACAUCGCUUUAGUUAAGCAAAGUUCAAGUGAAAUGGUGAUUUGGGAACUUGAAGAUCAUCGACAAGAAAUGGCAAGUUAUAAUAUCACCAUUCAAGUUCAUUAUUAA
Vicia faba (fava bean) is the source of this 246-nucleotide non-coding RNA. NCBI's taxonomy places the organism in Eukaryota, Viridiplantae, Streptophyta, Magnoliopsida, Fabales, Fabaceae. The record is from the annotation of a GenBank genome assembly.